This 2637-nucleotide long non-coding RNA is filed under the name Anthonomus grandis grandis. Its description in RNAcentral is "uncharacterized LOC126735778". Lineage: Eukaryota; Metazoa; Arthropoda; Insecta; Coleoptera; Curculionidae. The record is from RNAcentral.
AAAUGUUUUUCCUUUUCUUCCCUUUUCUUUCUUUUUCCUUUCCCUUUCUUUUUUCACCUUCACACCACCCUGUAAUCCUAUAACACUUGAAUCAUUUAUCCUUCCCUACAACACCUGAAGAUAUUUCCUUGGUUUUUGGUAAUUGGUCACCAACCUAAAUAAAAUUUGAUAAUUCUCUUUUUUUUUUUAAAAUGAGAAGAAACACUGAACUGAUGAAAACGUCAAAAAAAUAAGAAUGGUAAAGUCAACCUUCUAAAAUAACUAAUCAAAAUUAACUGCUAAUGUUUAAUAUAAUCAAAAGUUAUUAGAAAAAAAAAAAAAAAAAUUGGUAAACAUGAAUUGACACGUUGGGCGCCAAAUUUAUUACACUGUUUCUCGCACAAUGCCUAAAUGUGGGUUCCAGGGUUAUGAUUAUUAGCCUUUAUUAGGGCACGCAAAGAAAACGCAGCUUUAUAUCGUUAAACCCAGCUUUAGUAUUGAAAGAUAAAUCAAUGUCAUAAUUGACAACUAAUUUAAUCUAUAACCUCAAUUCAAAAAAAAAUAAAUACAAAGACAGUAAUGCUCUAAUACUUAAGUUAUAAUUAUGAAAUUUAAAAUUAUGAGAAAGAAAAUAAAGUAAAAUUUAGCACUUAAUACCUAUUCAAUUGUACAUCUAAUAAUACCUCGCAUAUACGUAUAUACUCAGUUCCCAAUUUCAAAUCAAAUCAGUGAUGGUGGUUAUAUAAACAAUUUUGCUAAAUUGAAUUUAAAAUCUGUGAUCAUUUCUACAUAUUAAUUCAAAAAAAAUAAUCUAUAAAUUGCGACGAACCGAUAAAUCAAUACCUGGAGAAACCAAGCCAAAAAGAAAAAGGGGCUACCUGAAAUUCUGAGUCUCUCCGACUGGUAGCAGGGCCCACCUGAUCUGAAUGGGGCUCCUUUGUUGGCAGCUAUACGUUUGGGUCAAAAGAGGCAGCAGCAGAUCGACCAGUUAGGAUGCUUCCAGAAUGUCUAGCAGGUAGUGGAGGGCAAUCGGUAUUAGGUGUAGCCGAUUGGAAGGAAUGCAGGUUCCGGAGGUGAUGAUCCAAGCGACUUGAUGUGGUAACACGUGGAGUAGCAAGUGAGGUGGAAGCAGUAACAAUAAAAAUGCAGCAAAAGCAGAAGCAGAGGAUAAGCAGAAGGUACAGGAAGGCCGAAGAUGGAAUGUGGCCUUUUCUGGGGUUUAUUUAACACAACAAAAACAAGGAGCCCUAUAAACUCUUAGGCCUACUUAGAAAAUCAGCAAUUAAGCUAUCCUAGCACAUACUAGUAACUACAAAAAAAUUAGGCUAAGAUAGGGUCUACCUUUUCACAUCCGCAUUAAGCGAAACUAUCUGUCAUACUCUAGAACCAGAUAAAGAAUGAAUCUAUUAAAAAUAGGAUUGUCAGUUCCCUCCAAAUUUUAAGGAAUGCAUUUAUCUGUCAAGUACCUAGGUGUUGACAUGCUGGGUUUAACUACUGGGUACUAUCUGAUACCAACAUUGGUUUAAGUAAUUUGCAACUAUGGAGCAAUCUAUAACUUGAGGCCAUGGUUUAGCAACAAUAAUUUACAAAAAAAAACUGACAGACCAGAUUGACAUUAACAUUCUUAUCACUAUUGAUCCUUAUGAUUUGAACAAAAUAAACAAUUAGUUAAUAUGUGCUCAGUAUUCACUAAAAUCUAAAAUAGGCCAAAUUGACCUGCAAGGUAAAAUCAAUGCAAAAUCAAUGACAGUUCGUAAUUCUAUUCAAUCAACAAAACAAUGAAACAAUAUCCCAUAUUAUUAUUUACUUUCCUCAUCCAAUAAUGGUUUUCCUUGCUUUUCAGAUCGGGUAUGUUAGGAGGGACCAUCUUAACGGUAUAUCAUAUCUGUGUAGUAUGUAUAUUUAUGUAUGAUUUUUAAAUAAAUUAUUUUAUGAAACUAUGGUUGCGAUUUACUUUAUCUUGGUAAAAAAAAUUAAUAAAUCAAUUAAUAUAUUUGUUGGAGAUUAAACCUGUAACAAAGUAUAUUUUGUUGUGUUUACUUUUAGGAUUUAAUAGCGCCUGCAAAGUGAGAAGUGAGAAGUCUGGGGGAAGCAUUCACAUUCAAGGAACCUGUCGCUCAAGGAUUUUAGUAAAAGUUUUAACAAGCGGAUCGAUUGCUGUGAAAUUUGUGGAAACUCAUGUAGGAAAUGCAUACGAGUUAAGAACAAAACGGUUGUCCAAGGCUGAAGAAAAUAUUGUAGUUGGGCAAUUGACUGCAGGAGUGACAAACGAAAGGAUAAUUCAAGAUGCUUGAAAAAUUCAGAAAAACACAAUACAAAGACUAAACCUACUAACAAGAGGAGACCUUGCAUAUUUGAUAAGGCUCUUCAACUAAGGCUGGGCGAGACUCUUCAGACCGACUAUAUAAUGAGUGAUGAUGAUCCCAAAUAUUAUAAUGCAUGGAUCAAGGUGAUGAAUUUGGCGGAAAAACCUAGGAGACUUCUUUGUUCUAAUAUCAAAGGAAGAUCAAAAUUGAAGAAGGCAGAAAACAGAAUACAUAUAUGAAGAAGGAAAUGAGGAAAAUUUUAAAGGAGACCAAUGUUGCCGCUUUUAUGGUGUUAAAAGAAAACUAUUUCAAGCAUUUGGAAGAGGAGGGUGAACACAAUUUCUUGAGAUAC